Molecule: ribosomal RNA, 431 nt
Filed under: uncultured bacterium
Lineage: Bacteria
Description: partial 16S ribosomal RNA
Rfam family: Bacterial small subunit ribosomal RNA
Source: RNAcentral
AGCGAACGCUGGCGGCAGGCUUAACACAUGCAAGUCGAGCGGGCCCUUCGGGGUCAGCGGCAGACGGGUGAGUAACACGUGGGAACGUACCCUUUGGUUCGGAAUAACGCUGGGAAACUAGCGCUAAUACCGGAUACGCCCUUUUGGGGAAAGGCUUGCUGCCGAAGGAUCGGCCCGCGUCUGAUUAGCUAGUUGGUGGGGUAAUGGCCUACCAAGGCGACGAUCAGUAGCUGGUCUGAGAGGAUGAUCAGCCACACUGGGACUGAGACACGGCCCAGACUCCUACGGGAGGCAGCAGUGGGGAAUAUUGGACAAUGGGCGCAAGCCUGAUCCAGCCAUGCCGCGUGAGUGAUGAAGGCCUUAGGGUUGUAAAGCUCUUUUGUCCGGGACGAUAAUGACGGUACCGGAAGAAUAAGCCCCGGCUAACUUCG